CAGACUCAGUAAUGUAAUGGUUCCUUAACAAGUAAUUUUUGAUUAAAUUGAUUGUGUUUGUUUGGUUCUAGGGUUUUAUUUUGAUGGGUGAUCAUUGAUUUGUAUGCUCGAUUGAGCCUUUAAAUUGUUGAAAAGUUUUGCUUUGAAGAUUGGUUUGAGUGUUUCUGAGAGCUGCAGGCCUUAUAUAUCACCGAGGCAAGCAUGCCCUAUACAGAAGAAAUCAAUGAAAGCUUAUUUGAACCGCUUUCUGCGAUUCUCUGUUGCUUGAGUUAGAGGCCUGAAGGAGACUUCACCAGAUCCAGAUUUUGAGACUUAUGGCCACCAUGAAUGUUUAUUCAGAAGUGAAGCAGCACGAUAACGGAAUGCUCACAUAACAUCAAAAGCCUAGUGCUCAUUUGGAGUUAAUCCUGGAGUUUCAUCGCAACAUUGCAGCAACUGAAGCCUUGGUAGUUAGCAGUUAGCAAUUGCUAAUGAAACUAAAGGAAUGAUGGAUUGGUGAACAUGCUCAAAACAUCAUUAAAAGCAAAUGGAUUAGCAAGGAUUUCUCCGAAAAAGAGCUUUGUAUUUCAAGGGCCAUUGGAAUAGUGCAAUCAACCAUCCAGAAGCAGAGAAAGUUUACUGAAAAAAAUCAAUCUUUACAUUGUUAGAUGCUUCUAUAAAUGAUUUUACAUUAUAGACCUA
This is a long non-coding RNA of Pistacia vera, 681 nucleotides long. RefSeq lists it as uncharacterized. The record is from RefSeq and is a predicted model, not a curated record. Lineage: Eukaryota; Viridiplantae; Streptophyta; Magnoliopsida; Sapindales; Anacardiaceae. The transcript has 4 exons.